This 87-nucleotide small RNA is filed under the name Salix viminalis (osier). The record is from RNAcentral. Lineage: Eukaryota; Viridiplantae; Streptophyta; Magnoliopsida; Malpighiales; Salicaceae.
UCCCAGGCAAUGCUGCUCAGAUUCGAGUAGAAAUCUCAUCAGUCUCUUGCCAUUUAGGUAAAUUUAGCCCUGACAGAUGAUAUGGAA